AAGUCGUAACAAGGUUUCCGUAGGUGAACCUGCGGAAGGAUCAUUAUAAAAUUUUUCUUGCAUAUUUUUUUAAAAUGUGUAAAAAAAAAUCUUGUAUUCAAAACCCACACUCUUUUAAAACCCAUAAUAAAAAAAUUUUUGUUAUAUACAUGAAAUUUUUUUAUUUAAAAAUAAUAUAAUAAAAAGACAACUUUCAACAACGGAUCUCUUGGCUCUC
RNAcentral lists this unclassified non-coding RNA (217 nucleotides) under fungal sp. RNAcentral describes it as "partial internal transcribed spacer region". The stretch from base 1 to 46 matches the Rfam family "Eukaryotic small subunit ribosomal RNA", at positions 1786 to 1831 of the family's 1831-position model. The record is from RNAcentral. Lineage: Eukaryota; Fungi.